CAGUGCGUCGUUGCAACGAAAUUGAAGAUGGAUUCUAUGUAAUAUUCUUGUUUACAAUUUAACCAACCAUUAUCUGCUCGAGGAAUUUACUAAAUUCUUCACGUGCCACAGUUUGUUCACCACUGGUUUACAUUAAUGCUAGCAGAAAGCAAGUCAAAAGAUAUCAAGUCCUAGAAAACAGAAAUCCUUGAAGAGCAGUAUGUUUAUGGAAGAGAUAUUUUAGAAGCGAAUAAGAUGAAUAUGACGCGAAUUGACAUUCGGGCUUAUGCGAAUCAUUACAUAACAUGAAGAAAUGAAAAUCACUGAGUAAUUUUGAAUUUUCCAACGCUUGCGCACUAAUGAACCGAAAAAUCGGCAUAAUUGGACUGAUUUUAUAACUAUUCUGGAUGUAAUCAAUUCGAAAUGAAAGUAGUGUGAAUAUUCUGAUUUUAUGUAUAUGCUUGUUAGGACAGCACGAUUUGUUCUACAUUCAUUAAGCUCUAUCAAAAAAAUUCAAAAUCUUCAUACCAAGUGCUAUGAAUUUUUAAUAAAUAUAUAUU
This is a non-coding RNA of Styela clava, 539 nucleotides long. Lineage: Eukaryota; Metazoa; Chordata; Ascidiacea; Stolidobranchia; Styelidae. The record is from RefSeq and is a predicted model, not a curated record.